RNAcentral lists this small RNA (1288 nucleotides) under Rattus norvegicus (Norway rat). Its description in RNAcentral is "uncharacterized LOC102552389". Lineage: Eukaryota; Metazoa; Chordata; Mammalia; Rodentia; Muridae. The record is from RNAcentral.
AGGAGGAGAGAAGGGAACAGGAGGGGACUGGAGCGGGGGUUGGAGGAGAGAAAAGAAAAGAAUGAACAACGCAGCUACUCAUUUCCGGUUCUCGGAACUUGGGACCGCUGGUACUGGCCUGAGAGGAGGUCCACGAGUGCUAUGGUUUGAACAUUCUUUCUCAUCACCAGAGUUCACACGGAAAGCCCCAGUGUGGGAGUGUUGAGAUGCCCUCAGACCUUUAAGAGGUCUCCCACCGUGAUGAUAAGGAACUAAACCAUUGUGAGCCAGCUCCAAAUUACAUGCUUUCCUAUAUAAGAGUUGCGUGGUCAUGGUGUCUCUUCACAGCAAUAGAUCAUUGACUAAGGCUGGUGGUGGCGGCAGCAGCAGAAGCAGCAGCAGCAUGUGGAGGCAGAGGCAGGAGAAUGAAUCUCUGAGAUCAAGACCAGUCUGGCAGUGCUACGCAGAGAACCCCUGUCUGAAAAGAAAAGAAAAAAGUUAAAACAAACAAACAAACUCCCAAACGAACAAUUAAGACAGUACUCAGUUCAAAUGUUCCAUCGCGGCAACAGAAAUCAGACUUAGACGGUAAGAUGUUCUUAUCUCCCUUUUCAGCUCAGAUGUAACCCCAUCUCACAGGCUUGCUGUUCUCGUUGUGUUCAGCUGGCCGUGGUGCUCCGUUGACGAUCCUCAGGAGCUCGAUUCGGUAUCGCUCCGCUCUGUUUGUAAUAGAAGACUCAGAGACUUAACAGCUACCCACCAUGCCUGUUGCCAUCUUCCAAGAAUCCUCCUCGUUGACUUUAAUGAGAAGAAAUUCACAUGAAUGAACACACAUAUGCACACAUAGACAGAAACAUAGACAGUUGGUUUAUGGAGUUCACCAGGCUCAAUACAAGCUUUAGGUGUUCAGGCCUCAGGGAUUCUUCGGUUUCUCUGCCAGUGACACUUGGGAUGUGUCCUACUGCCAAGAACCUUGGCUUAAAUCUUCUGGGCCUAACUCAAGUUAUCAGAGGCAAUCUGAAGACAUUUUCUGUCCUCAGUGUGCCAUGUGUUUUGAUCCUUGUAUCUGGGCAGGCAGGGCGCUCUAAAAUAGUGCUCAAUGGUUAAGAGCAUUUGUUACUCUUACACAGGACUUAGGUUUGGUUCCCAGCACCCAUGUGGUGGCUCACAACGGACUCCAGUUCCAACCAAUCCCAGUUCUACCAGCACCCACCCUCUCUACACCUCCUCCGGUACUAGGCACACACAUGGUGACUAAUACAUGCAGGCAAAACACUCAUACACAUAAAAUAAACAAACCUAAAAGAUU